This 450-nucleotide ribosomal RNA is filed under the name uncultured bacterium. RNAcentral describes it as "partial 16S ribosomal RNA". It matches the Rfam family "Bacterial small subunit ribosomal RNA", at positions 354 to 796 of the family's 1533-position model. The record is from RNAcentral.
GUGGGGAAUAUUGGACAAUGGGCGAAAGCCUGAUCCAGCCAUGCCGCGUGUGUGAAGAAGGUCUUCGGAUUGUAAAGCACUUUAAGUUGGGAGGAAGGGCAGUAAGUUAAUACCUUGCUGUUUUGACGUUACCGACAGAAUAAGCACCGGCUAACUUCGUGCCAGCAGCCGCGGUAAUACGAAGGGUGCAAGCGUUAAUCGGAAUUACUGGGCGUAAAGCGCGCGUAGGUGGUUUUGUAAGUUGGAGGUGAAAUCACCGGGCUCAACCUGGGAACUGCCUCCAAAACUGCAUGACUAGAGUACGGUAGAGGGUAGUGGAAUUUCCUGUGUAGCGGUGAAAUGCGUAGAUAUAGGAAGGAACACCAGUGGCGAAGGCGACUACCUGGACUGAUACUGACACUGAGGUGCGAAAGCGUGGGGAGCAAACAGGAUUAGAAACCCUGGUAGUCC